This 25-nucleotide non-coding RNA is filed under the name Cricetulus griseus (Chinese hamster). Lineage: Eukaryota; Metazoa; Chordata; Mammalia; Rodentia; Cricetidae. The record is from RNAcentral.
ACCUGUGCCCAGUACUCUUAGAAAU